Molecule: transfer RNA, 69 nt
Filed under: Ictidomys tridecemlineatus (thirteen-lined ground squirrel)
Lineage: Eukaryota; Metazoa; Chordata; Mammalia; Rodentia; Sciuridae
Description: Spermophilus tridecemlineatus (thirteen-lined ground squirrel) tRNA
Rfam family: tRNA
About the family: Transfer RNA (tRNA) molecules are approximately 80 nucleotides in length. Their secondary structure includes four short double-helical elements and three loops (D, anti-codon, and T loops).
Source: Rfam by way of RNAcentral
GGUAUUGUGGCUCAGUGGUAGAGUGUUUGCUUAGCACGUGCAAGGCUCUGGGUUCGAGUCUCAGCACCA